Molecule: ribosomal RNA, 492 nt
Filed under: uncultured bacterium
Lineage: Bacteria
Description: partial 16S ribosomal RNA
Rfam family: Bacterial small subunit ribosomal RNA
Source: RNAcentral
AGUGAACGCUGGCGGUAGGCCUAACACAUGCAAGUCAAACGGCAGCACAGUAAGAGCUUGCUCUUACGGGUGGCGAGUGGCGGACGGGUGAGGAAUACAUCGGAAUCUACUUUUUCGUGGUGGCUAACGUAGGGAAACUUACGCUACUACCGCAUACUACCUACGGGUGAAAGCAGGGGAUCUUCGGACCUUGCGCGAUUGAAUGAGCCGAUGUCGGAUUAGCUAGUUGGCGGGGUAAAGGCCCACCAAGGCGACGAUCCGUAGCUGGUCUGAGAGGAUGAUCAGCCACACUGGAACUGAGACACGGUCCAGACUCCUACGGGAGGCAGCAGUGGGGAAUAUUGGACAAUGGGCGCAAGCCUGACCCAGCCACACCGCGUGGGUGAAGAAGGCCUUCGGGUCGUAAAGCCCUUUUGUUGGGAAAGAAAAGCAGCAGGUGAAUACCCCGCUGUUCUGACGGUACCCAAAGAAUAAGCACCGGCUAACUUCGUG